Molecule: ribosomal RNA, 138 nt
Filed under: uncultured Eubacteriales bacterium
Lineage: Bacteria; Bacillati; Bacillota; Clostridia; Eubacteriales
Description: uncultured Clostridiales bacterium partial 16S ribosomal RNA
Rfam family: Bacterial small subunit ribosomal RNA
Source: RNAcentral
UGGGGAAUCUUGCGCAAUGGGGGCAACCCUGACGCAGCAACGCCGCGUGAGUGAUGAAGGCCUUCGGGUCGUAAAACUCUGUCCCAUGGGAAGAAAAGAAUGACGGUACCAUGGGAGGAAGCCCCGGCUAACUACGUG